AAUUCCAAAGGUAUUCUACCCCCUUGAUUCCAGUCUCUCAAUAGAUAAACGAUGUUAAAAUAAAAGACUAAGCCGUUGAUGAGAACCAAGAAAAUUCCGACUAGAAUCAAGUAGAAGAUACAAACCCCACAGAAAUGGAUAAACAUGUGUGAAUGAUUAUGAAUGCAAAAUGAUGUGAAUGUAGUGCAGUGGCAUGGGAAUCAAGAUAGUUGUAUCUGCUUGAACAUCUCUCAGGUUGCACUGUCUGGAGAGAAAUUAAGAGCACCCCAAACAAAGGUCAUGGGAUGGAUCAUGUUAUCCUUAAUGUCGACCACCCAUUUUGGUGGAUUAUGGUUUACACCUUAUCAACACCCAAGUUUCAUUGAUAUUAAGGAUACCUGAUCGGAUCAACCAUGAAUCAAGGG
This 404-nucleotide long non-coding RNA is filed under the name Lathyrus oleraceus (garden pea). RNAcentral describes it as "Pisum sativum (pea) long non-coding RNA (PSAT_LNC011803)". The record is from RNAcentral. Lineage: Eukaryota; Viridiplantae; Streptophyta; Magnoliopsida; Fabales; Fabaceae.